UUGCUUUGGCAACAUAUAUACUAAAAUUGGAAUGAUACAGAGAAGAUUAGCAUAGCCCCUGUGCAAGGAUGACAUGCAAAUUCAUGAAGCGUUCCAUAUUUAA
This 103-nucleotide small nuclear RNA is filed under the name Nannospalax galili (Upper Galilee mountains blind mole rat). Lineage: Eukaryota; Metazoa; Chordata; Mammalia; Rodentia; Spalacidae. The record is from RNAcentral.